ACUAUAGAUUCUUUAGGUUUUGGAUAAAGAUCAAAUCCUUGGGAGCAGCAAGGGGACGAUCUCCCGUGGGACGCUUCCCGCCGGAUCGCUGGCUUCAUUGGCCUGUAGCCGGAAUACGAGGAGGAGGGGGAGGACGCGCUCCGGACAAGAAGUGAUGGCAGGGGCCGUAAUGCCGCUGCCUCGAACCGCCGCUAGAGGGUUCAGCGUGCAGAUGCCCGUCGCCGUCGAGCGCCCCUGCUUCGGUUCGUUCCUCGUUCCCUGCGAUCCCGGCGAAGGCAGAGUUCAGGGUUUCAGGUGGUCCACUAGAAGACUACAUGGAUGAGGACGGAGAUAUGGCAGAUGAGUUCUUGAGUGUAGCAACUGAGAUGCUCCCCGAUGAGAACCAAACAGCUCCACAUAAGUUGCACACAGUACUACUACCAUAGCCAUAAGGAAUCAGGUCAUUGUUGCCGAUGGGAAAUACAUCAGACUAUCAGAGCUUAGAAUCCUAAUCAAUAUUUAGAAUGGCAGAUUGGAAGAUCUUGAAAUGUCGUUGAGCUAUCCUCAACAUCUAGCAAUGUGCUAGGGUUUUCCAUGGUGCAUAAUGGGCGGGUGGUUCAAUUGUUACCGCUACGUUGUAAACUAUAAUAAUAUGCCCUUUGAGUAUGUAUAAGUCUAUUUUUACAAAGUAGACAAAUCAAAUGGAAAGGUCAUCUACUUUCAAGAUUAGAUGGCAAAAAGUAAAAUAGCAUGUCUUUUCGUUGA
Molecule: long non-coding RNA, 744 nt
Organism: Zingiber officinale
Lineage: Eukaryota; Viridiplantae; Streptophyta; Magnoliopsida; Zingiberales; Zingiberaceae
Exons: 2
Source: RefSeq, a predicted model, not a curated record